RNAcentral lists this unclassified non-coding RNA (253 nucleotides) under uncultured fungus. Its description in RNAcentral is "partial contains 5.8S ribosomal RNA, internal transcribed spacer 2, and large subunit ribosomal RNA". The record is from RNAcentral. Lineage: Eukaryota; Fungi.
AACGCACAUUGCGCCCCCUGGCAUUCCGGGGGGCAUGCCUGUCCGAGCGUCAUUUCUGCCCUCAAGCACGGCUUGUGUGUUGGGUGUGGUCCCCUCCGGUUGGGACCUGCCCCAAAGGCAGCGGCGACGUCGCGUCUGGUCCUCGAGCGUAUGGGGCUUUGUCACCCGCUUGGGAGGGGCCUGCGGGCGUUGGUCAACCCCCAACCUUUUUAUGUUGACCUCGGAUCAGGUAGGAGUUACCCGCUGAACUUAA